CCUACGGGUGGCAGCAGUGAGGAAUAUUGGUCAAUGGGCGGGAGCCUGAACCAGCCAAGUCGCGUGAGGGAAGACGGUCCUAUGGAUUGUAAACCUCUUUAGGCGGGGAGCAAUGCCGGGCACGCGUGCCCGGAGGGAGAGUACCCGCAGAAUAAGCAUCGGCUAACUCCGUGCCAGCAGCCGCGGUAAUACGGAGGAUGCUAGCGUUGUCCGGAUUUAUGGGGUUUAAAGGGUGAGUAGGCGGAUUUUUAAGUCAGCGGUAAAAUGUCCGGGCUCAACCCGGGGCGGCCGUUGAGACUGGGGAUCUUGAGUGGGCGAGAAGUAUGCGGAAUGCGUGGUGUAGCGGGGAAAUGCAUAGAUAUCACGCAGAACUCUGAUUGCGAAGGCAGCAUACCGGCGCCCGACUGACGCUGAGGCACGAAAGCGUGGGGAUCGAACAGGAUUAGAUACCCGGGUAGUC
This 460-nucleotide ribosomal RNA is filed under the name uncultured bacterium. RNAcentral describes it as "partial 16S ribosomal RNA". It matches the Rfam family "Bacterial small subunit ribosomal RNA", at positions 338 to 795 of the family's 1533-position model. The record is from RNAcentral.